AGUACCUACAUAUUUUGUCUGAUUAACAAUGCAGUUUCAGUUCAAGAUUCAAUAGCUUUAUUGUCAGUACAACAGUAUACAGUGUGCCGAAAUUCUGUUUCACCCCAAGCCCCAAAUGGUGCAUUUACAAGUAUAUAAAAGAUAUAUCUCCAAGAGAUAUAAAACUAGAAAUAAAUAAUGUGCUAAAUGUCUGUAAAAUUAAAGGAAAAACAGGUACUAAUUACUAACUAUACAAUACUAUAAUGAUAACUAUACAAUACUAACUGUGCGAUAAACAAAGACAGGACAGAGACAAUACAAAGUGGAUUGUGCAGUGGUAUUGAAUACCAGGUUUAAGUUAUUGUCAGGAUAUUAUAGACGAGACAUGACAAAGACAUGUGCUAGAUGCAAAAUGUGCAAAUGUACUGUAGUUUAGAUAUGUUGCAUUAUAACAUCCAUGUACUAUGUUAGAUCUGGUAUUAUAAUUUUAUUCCCAGACACCAUGAGAGGUUUAAAGAGAAAAACAAAAACAAAAAACAAAACAAAAAAACUUUUCUUCACUCUUAAGAGCAUUUCAUAACUUUUUAAAGUCUGAAAACUGUGCCCCAACAAUUCUCCUGGUUCACAUUAAUGCUCAGAGUUUAAGAACUAAAGUCACACUUUCCAACUUUCUAUUACAGCCACAGUGAAAGGGUGCAGUAGCUUAGAGUUGAACUCCUGUCAUAUCAUUAUAAUACGACCUUGUUUAAAUCUUCAGCUACUACAGGUUCACUCUGUAUUUCACUUGUCAAUUACAGCUAGUUUUUUUUUUCUUUUCAUUUUUUCUUCUUUUUUUAUAAGCACAUCCUUCAUAAUGUGAUAAAAUACAGAUUCACAGGCAGGGCUAGUAGCUCACUGUAGAAAUCCUCUGAUGAUAACUGACAUUUAUGACUGGGGUUCAUGCAAUAAAUGCUUGUCAGCUCACAUCCUUCUCUUUAUUUUUUGCCUGAUGGGUCAAACUCACCUUCACUACAACUAUAAGGACAAUAAAAGUCUCAGAAAAUAGGAAGGGAGGGGCAAACCUUUAGCUGGGGUCAUGCUGAUGCAUGUAUUUAUAGCUCUGUAUUCAUAAAAUUAGGUGAAGAUGAACUGUAUUCGCUGAAGCAACAACUCUUAAAGCAGCAGAUAUGAUGACAACAACUAGCUUUUCAUUUAAAAGCUCAGAAAAUACACCAUAUACACAUAUCAG
Astatotilapia calliptera (eastern happy) is the source of this 1207-nucleotide long non-coding RNA. The record is from Ensembl. NCBI's taxonomy places the organism in Eukaryota, Metazoa, Chordata, Actinopteri, Cichliformes, Cichlidae.